RNAcentral lists this ribosomal RNA (483 nucleotides) under uncultured bacterium. RNAcentral's name for it is "partial 16S ribosomal RNA". It matches the Rfam family "Bacterial small subunit ribosomal RNA", at positions 29 to 523 of the family's 1533-position model. The record is from RNAcentral.
AACGAACGCUGGCGGCGUGCUUAACACAUGCAAGUCGAACGAGAAACGGAUUUAGCUUGCUAAAUUGCAGUCUAAGUGGCGCACGGGUGAGUAAUGUAUAGGUAAUAUGCCUCUUACUAAGGGAUAACAAUUGGAAACGAUUGCUAAUACCUUAUAUGCCUUUAAUACGAAAGUAUGCAAGGGAAAGAUUUAUUGGUAAGAGAUUAGCCUGUAUGGUAUCAGCUUGUUGGUGAGGUAAUGGCUCACCAAGGCUAUGACGCCUAACUGGUUUGAGAGGAUGAUCAGUCACACUGGAACUGAGACACGGUCCAGACUCCUACGGGAGGCAGCAGUGGGGAAUAUUGCACAAUGGACGAAAGUCUGAUGCAGCAACGCCGCGUGGAGGAUGACACAUUUCGGUGCGUAAACUCCUUUUAUAUAGGAAGAUAAUGACAGUACUAUACGAAUAAGCACCGGCUAACUCCGUGCCAGCAGCCGCAGUAA